Molecule: ribosomal RNA, 459 nt
Filed under: uncultured bacterium
Lineage: Bacteria
Description: partial 16S ribosomal RNA
Rfam family: Bacterial small subunit ribosomal RNA
Source: RNAcentral
CUACGGGGGGCUGCAGUGAGGAAUAUUGCGCAAUGGACGAAAGUCUGACGCAGCCAUGCCGCGUGCAGGAUGACGGCGCUAUGCGUUGUAAACUGCUUUUAUAGGCCAAGAAACCUUCGGACGUGUCCGAAGCUGACGGUAGCAUAUGAAUAAGCACCGGCUAACUCCGUGCCAGCAGCCGCGGUAAUACGGAGGGUGCAAGCGUUAUCCGGAUUUAUUGGGUUUAAAGGGUCCGUAGGCGGAUCAUUAAGUCAGUGGUGAAAGCCGGCAGCUCAACUGUCGAACUGCCAUUGAUACUGGUGAUCUUGAAUACGGUUGAAGUUGGCGGAAUAGGUCAUGUAGCGGUGAAAUGCUUAGAUAUGACCUAGAACACCGAUUGCGAAGGCAGCCAACUAAGCCGUUAUUGACGCUGAGGGACGAAAGCAUGGGGAGCGAACAGGAUUAGAUACCCCCGUAGUC